RNAcentral lists this transfer RNA (59 nucleotides) under Hemiarthrum setulosum. RNAcentral describes it as "tRNA-Cys". Lineage: Eukaryota; Metazoa; Mollusca; Polyplacophora; Chitonida; Hemiarthridae. The record is from RNAcentral.
GGCUCUAUAGGUUUAAGACCAUUAAAUUGCAAAUUUAAAAGAACAUUUUGUUAGAGCUU